This 4113-nucleotide long non-coding RNA is filed under the name Solanum tuberosum (potato). Its description in RNAcentral is "long non-coding RNA (STUB_LNC008012)". The record is from RNAcentral. Lineage: Eukaryota; Viridiplantae; Streptophyta; Magnoliopsida; Solanales; Solanaceae.
UUCAAAACAUGUAUCUACUAAAAAUAAAAUGUUAAUGUGGCAAAAUAAGUAUCUCUUUUUUUUUCCUUAGGAAGAAGGGAUUUUAUUUAAUACUAAGGUUCAUCCAUACAAAAGGGAACGGUUCUAUAUGAGACAUUUUCAUUAGCAUCUCUAUCAAGACAAGUCGUAACGAGGGAAGGAGAUGCAUAAAAAAUAUAAACAUAAUUUAGAGUCAUAGUUGGAUCAUUUGACUUCCUUCCGUAUUCCGCUAGUUCGUCAGCUACUCCAUUAGCCUCCCUCGGUAUAUGAUUCAAUGAUGGUUCGUCCAGUUGUUGGAGCAAUGACCUGCAGUCAGCACAGAUAUGUGAGUAUAUAGCAUUAUCAUUAUUUAGAGAGUUUAGUAGUACCUGUUUCCACCAAUAAAUGUUUUAUAUUUUUUCUUUAGCAAGAGUCAGUCCAUGUAAUAAGGCUAAUAGUUAUGCAUGGUACACACUUUCCACUUUGGUUUUACAAGCAAACCCUGUUAUCCACUCUCCUGCUUGGUUCCUUAUUACUCCUUCGAUACCUCCAUUCGUUGUUUUAGGCUCAAAAGAUCCGUCAAUGUUCAACUUGAAGUAUUCAUCAGGGGGUUUAGACCAUGUGAUAGGGAUCGAUUGUUUUGGAUGAUUUUUUUUCGAAGGAUUAGAAAUAUGAAGGAAUUAAAGUGCUUGAAAAAGAUAUGUUUUGAAUUAUUUUGGUAAUGUUAUUUGGAGGGUGAGGUUUAAACACGUUACUAUUUCUUGUUUUCUAAAUAUUCCAAAAAAUAAUUGGUGUUAGAAUGGUUGUAGGCAUUCUAAGAUUGUUUCUAGUUCUGGACAUGGUCUUGGAGUGGCAUAGGCGAUAGAUAAUAUUGUUGUCAAAGUCAUUACUAUCUAUAUUUAUGUUGAACUUAUUCCAGAUUGUAGUAGCAACAUGGCAGCUUGCAAAGAUGCGAAUAGUAGUUUCAUCUCUAUUAGGGCAACUAAUACAAUUUCUGUGAUUGGUGAUAUUUCUAUAUAAAAAAAAAGUGAGGAGGAGGUAGGGAGUUUAUUGAGAAGAAGAAGCUAAAUAAAGAAUUUUAUUUUGUUUAAAGUCCUGAGUUUCCAAAUCCAAGUAUAAGUAUUUGGAAGACUUAUAAGAAGGUCGUUAUUUGCUUUUAAGAAGAGUUUAUAGGCGUUGUUAGUGCUAAAUUUCCCAUUGAUAUUUUGGUUCUAGUAAUAAACAUCAUUUUUUUGUGUAGAGACUUGGAUAUAGGUAUUUUGAAUAGAGUUUAUAAUUUCGCAGGGUAUUUCAAAGAAGACAUGAGUUAAGUUCCAAACAUUGUUAUUCAUUAUAUCCGACACUACAAGCUUAGUAUCUGUCUUAUUUAUCGGGCUGUGGAUAACUUCACGAAGAGUGUAUGACCCUUCGAUCCAUCUUUCAUUCUAUAGAUGGAUUUUUGUGACGUCACCCACGUUCCAUGAGAUCCCUUUAUGAAAUAGGGGGUAUGCCUUAACGAGACUUUUCCAAAUAUAGGAGUUGUAGGUAUGAUAUUUGUUUGAGAAAGUUCUAUUAUUUCUAUUUAUAUAUUUUUUGGACAGAACUUUUACCGAAAGACGAUCGUUUGUUAUUUAGAAAUCUCCAAUGUAAACUAGCUAGUAAGGAUAUAUUUUUCCCAUUAGUGUUUUUGAGUCCUAAGCCCCCCUGAUCUAUAGGGGUGGUACAAGCAUCCCAAUUUAUUAAAUGAAGUUUUCUCUUUUUCGGUGUUAAUCCCCAAAGAAAGUUCCGUUGGAUACGAUCAAUAUGGUUUAUAGUAAUUUGGGGCAGUAAGUUGCAUUGCAUUGCAUAUGUGGGAAUAGUAGAAAGGACGAAUUUGAUAAGAAUGGUUCUUCCCGCUAGAGAAAGGAAGCGAGUUUUACAUGCAUCCACUAAGCUUCUUAUUCAUAUGGUCUAUAAUGUAUUGAUAAUCAAGACUUUUCGAAUGAUGAUUUGUUAUAGGUAGUCCUAGGUAUUUCUCCAUUUUCUCAUAUUGCCGAAUAUUCAUCAUUGUGGAAAGGUCAUUUCUAUCUUGAAGGCUAACAUUUGUUGAAAACAUAAUUGAGGAUUUACUGAAGUUCAUUUUUUGGCCUGAUUGUUCCGAUAAGGUGUUGAAGAUGUGGAUUAUUGAGGAUGCAUUUAAAGUGUCGGCUUUAGCAAAGAGGAUAAUAUCGUCUGCAAAGAGAAGGUGAGAUAUAUGAACUUCCAUUCUACCAAUUCUAACGGGAUGCCAUAGGCUUUCUUGAAUAGCGAAGUGAAUGAGUCUGGAGAGAGAUUCCAUACAUAUAAUAAAUAAAUAGGAUGAUAACGGGUCUCCUUGCCUUAAUCCUCUCGAUGGAAGGAAGAAUUUUGUCGAGAUGCCAUUCACGUAUGGAUAUUGAUGAGGUAGAGAUGCAAGACAUGAUUAAUUUGAUAAUAUUAUUAGGAAAGUUUAGAAUAAUGAGGGAUUGUCUUAUGAAAGACCAUUCUAAUCUGUCGAAAGCUUUCUCUAGGUUGAUUUUGAGAAGCAUUUUACCAAAUUUUCCUUUGGAUUUUUGGAAGGAAUAGAUAGCUUCUUGAACAAUUAUUAUGUUGUCUAAAGCUCGUCUAUCAUGGAUGAAGCUGCAUUGUUGGGGGCUAAUGAUAUCAUCUAAGUAGUGUCUAUUUCUAUUAACAAUGAUGUUAAUAAUGGUUUUGUAUAUAGUGUUGCAUAAGCUAAUGGGUCUGUAGUGAGUAAUUUGCUCCAGAUUUUUAAAUUUGGAAUGAGACAGAUGAAAGUCUUAUUUAUUUCCGCGAGAAUGGAGGAAAUGCUAAAAGCAGUCAUACACGUGGUGACUACUGCUUCCUAUGUUUCUUUCCAGAAUUUUUGGAAGAAAAGUGGGUGAAGGCCAUCUGGUCCUGGGGGUUCAAGGGGUUGAAAGGAAAAAAUGGCAUUUUAAAUUUCUUCUCUAGUCAAAGGUCUUCCUAUAUUGGUACUAUUCUCUCGAGAGAUGGAGUUUUGACAAACAGUAGGAGCAGGGAGGGAGCUAUGGUUUAGAUCAGUAGUAUAAAUCUUUUGGAAGUGAUGAAUGAUUGUCUCAUUAAUGUUUAUAGGAUCGAACGUCCAAUUUCCUACUGAAUCGUUAAGACCUAUGAUUAUAUUUCUACGUAUAUUCUUAGUUGUGGAGAUAUCAGAGAACUUAGUAUUAGAAUCUCCUUCAUUGAUCCAUUGGACUCUAGACUCUAAUUUCCAAAUAACUUCUUCCCUUUUAAAGAUUUCGUUGAAGUCGUUGGUGAGCAUAUUCUCUAAAUCAUAAUGAAAAGGCUUUUUAUGGUCGAUAUUCAUAAGUUCGAGGUCGUUAAGGUGCUUUAAAAGAUCGUUCUUUUGUUUGAAGAUGUUCCCGAAAGUUUCAUUAUUCCAUUUCUUUGCAGCAUUAGUGAAAGCUAUCAGAUUUUUUUCAUAGUCAUCAUCUUGGUUCAGUGGCUUUUGACUUUGUUUGGGAAGUCUGGGUGUCGGAGCCACAUGGUUUCAAAUCGAAAAAGUUUGUUAGUCUUACGAUAGUUUUUAGAGAAAUUUAAUAUGAUGGGACAAUGGUCCGAGUGAGUACGAGGAAGGUGGUAUAUAUUAGAGUCAAGAAACAAGGUUAGCCAUUCAUGAUUAUUAAGAAAUCUAUCAAGUCUUUCCAUAAUGAGAGUCGAUUUAUUUUUAUGUUUGUUGGUCCAAGUGAAUUUUUAGCCCGAAAAACAAAGAUCUAUCAUUCCCAUGUCGUCUAGGCAUCUUAUAAAGGAAGAACAUUUAGUAUUAUUAAUCAGUCUUCCUCCUAAUUUUUCGGAAACAUUGGUUGCCUCAUUGAAAUCCCCACAUACAAGCCAAGGUCCAUUUAUAGUAGUUGCUAUGUUUCUUAGACUAUUCCACAGUAUAUCUCUAUAACUAUGUUUAUUUUUUGCGUACAUUAUAGAAAAGUAAAAUUUAGUCUUGGAGUUUACCUCAAUAGUUGAGUGAAUUUCUUGCUCGGUUAGAACGUAUGGUUCAAUUGUGAUCUAUGAGCUCCUCCAAAAAAGAGCAAUUCCACUUGAAUAUAUCCUGUUGCUAGGACUUGAAUAACAUCAGUGAAAUCCAGUGCCUGAAGUAAUGUAUCUUGG